Molecule: ribosomal RNA, 497 nt
Filed under: uncultured bacterium
Lineage: Bacteria
Description: partial 16S ribosomal RNA
Rfam family: Bacterial small subunit ribosomal RNA
Source: RNAcentral
GAUGAACGCUGGCGGCGUGCCUAAUACAUGCAAGUCGAGCGAACAGAUGAGGAGCUUGCUCCUCUGACGUUAGCGGCGGACGGGUGAGUAACACGUGGAUAACCUACCUAUAAGACUGGGAUAACUUCGGGAAACCGGAGCUAAUACCGGAUAAUAUAUUGAACCGCAUGGUUCAAUAGUGAAAGACGGUUUUGCUGUCACUUAUAGAUGGAUCCGCGCCGCAUUAGCUAGUUGGUAAGGUAACGGCUUACCAAGGCAACGAUGCGUAGCCGACCUGGGAGGGUGGUCCGCCCAACCUGAAACGAGACACGGUCCCGACUCCUCAGGGGGGGCACCGGGGGGAAUAUUGCCGAAUGGGGCAAAGGCCGAACGGACCAAGCCCGGGGGGGUAAGAAAGUUUUCGGGUUCUAAAACCUUUUUUAUUGGGAAAAAACAAAUUUGUAUGAAACUUUGCUGUUUUGACGUUACCCUAAGCAAAAGGCCCGGGUAACCUCGUG